Molecule: ribosomal RNA, 1438 nt
Filed under: Lactiplantibacillus pentosus
Lineage: Bacteria; Bacillati; Bacillota; Bacilli; Lactobacillales; Lactobacillaceae
Also listed under: 1 other name
Description: bacterial SSU rRNA
Rfam family: Bacterial small subunit ribosomal RNA
Source: RNAcentral
GCAAGUCGAACGAACUCUGGUAUUGAUUGGUGCUUGCAUCAUGAUUUACAUUUGAGUGAGUGGCGAACUGGUGAGUAACACGUGGGAAACCUGCCCAGAAGCGGGGGAUAACACCUGGAAACAGAUGCUAAUACCGCAUAACAACUUGGACCGCAUGGUCCGAGUUUGAAAGAUGGCUUCGGCUAUCACUUUUGGAUGGUCCCGCGGCGUAUUAGCUAGAUGGUGGGGUAACGGCUCACCAUGGCAAUGAUACGUAGCCGACCUGAGAGGGUAAUCGGCCACAUUGGGACUGAGACACGGCCCAAACUCCUACGGGAGGCAGCAGUAGGGAAUCUUCCACAAUGGACGAAAGUCUGAUGGAGCAACGCCGCGUGAGUGAAGAAGGGUUUCGGCUCGUAAAACUCUGUUGUUAAAGAAGAACAUAUCUGAGAGUAACUGUUCAGGUAUUGACGGUAUUUAACCAGAAAGCCACGGCUAACUACGUGCCAGCAGCCGCGGUAAUACGUAGGUGGCAAGCGUUGUCCGGAUUUAUUGGGCGUAAAGCGAGCGCAGGCGGUUUUUUAAGUCUGAUGUGAAAGCCUUCGGCUCAACCGAAGAAGUGCAUCGGAAACUGGGAAACUUGAGUGCAGAAGAGGACAGUGGAACUCCAUGUGUAGCGGUGAAAUGCGUAGAUAUAUGGAAGAACACCAGUGGCGAAGGCGGCUGUCUGGUCUGUAACUGACGCUGAGGCUCGAAAGUAUGGGUAGCAAACAGGAUUAGAUACCCUGGUAGUCCAUACCGUAAACGAUGAAUGCUAAGUGUUGGAGGGUUUCCGCCCUUCAGUGCUGCAGCUAACGCAUUAAGCAUUCCGCCUGGGGAGUACGGCCGCAAGGCUGAAACUCAAAGGAAUUGACGGGGGCCCGCACAAGCGGUGGAGCAUGUGGUUUAAUUCGAAGCUACGCGAAGAACCUUACCAGGUCUUGACAUACUAUGCAAAUCUAAGAGAUUAGACGUUCCCUUCGGGGACAUGGAUACAGGUGGUGCAUGGUUGUCGUCAGCUCGUGUCGUGAGAUGUUGGGUUAAGUCCCGCAACGAGCGCAACCCUUAUUAUCAGUUGCCAGCAUUAAGUUGGGCACUCUGGUGAGACUGCCGGUGACAAACCGGAGGAAGGUGGGGAUGACGUCAAAUCAUCAUGCCCCUUAUGACCUGGGCUACACACGUGCUACAAUGGAUGGUACAACGAGUUGCGAACUCGCGAGAGUAAGCUAAUCUCUUAAAGCCAUUCUCAGUUCGGAUUGUAGGCUGCAACUCGCCUACAUGAAGUCGGAAUCGCUAGUAAUCGCGGAUCAGCAUGCCGCGGUGAAUACGUUCCCGGGCCUUGUACACACCGCCCGUCACACCAUGAGAGUUUGUAACACCCAAAGUCGGUGGGGUAACCUUUUAGGAACCAGCCGCCUAA